RNAcentral lists this ribosomal RNA (497 nucleotides) under uncultured bacterium. RNAcentral describes it as "partial 16S ribosomal RNA". It matches the Rfam family "Bacterial small subunit ribosomal RNA", at positions 28 to 507 of the family's 1533-position model. The record is from RNAcentral.
GAUGAACGCUGGCGGCGUGCCUAAUACAUGCAAGUCGAGCGAACGGACGAGAAGCUUGCUUCUCUGAUGUUAGCGGCGGACGGGUGAGUAACACGUGGAUAACCUACCUAUAAGACUGGGAUAACUUCGGGAAACCGGAGCUAAUACCGGAUAAUAUUUUGAACCGCAUGGUUCAAAAGUGAAAGACGGUCUUGCUGUCACUUAUAGAUGGAUCCGCGCUGCAUUAGCUAGUUGGUAAGGUAACGGCUUACCAAGGCAACGAUGCAUAGCCGACCUGAGAGGGUGAUCGGCCACACUGGAACUGAGACACGGUCCAGACUCCUACGGGAGGCAGCAGUAGGGAAUCUUCCGCAAUGGGCGAGAGCCUGACGGAGCAACGCCGCGUGAGUGAUGAAGGUCUUCGGAUCGUAAAACUCUGUUAUUAGGGAAGAACAUAUGUGUAAGUAACUGUGCACAUCUUGACGGUACCUAAUCAGAAAGCCACGGCUAUCUACGUG